Molecule: long non-coding RNA, 1174 nt
Organism: Numida meleagris (helmeted guineafowl)
Lineage: Eukaryota; Metazoa; Chordata; Aves; Galliformes; Numididae
Exons: 2
Source: RefSeq, a predicted model, not a curated record
CCUCAUUUAAGGAUUGAGAGUGGAGGUGAGGGUAUUUUGCUUGAGAUCCAUGCCUACCUGAGUCUUUCUGAAGGGUUGUCUAUUACUGCCUUCAACUGAGCAGCUCACCUGGCACCAUGGAAGACCCUGCUGGUGGUUACUACUGCAAAGGAUCCUUCCUGCCCCAAAGAACCAAGAAUGCGCAGAUUCUGCAGUAUAUGACUUUUCAGUUCAGAAAUACUUAUUUUCCAAGCAAUAUAUAGACAGCUGACAACCUGCAGGGCUGCAAUGGUACUUCCCUGUCUUGGGUUAUGCUUCUACUCUGAAUGCAACAGUGUUUAUAGCAGAGCAUGACUGGACCACAUUUCUGGGAUCGUCUGAGAUGAAAGGCGCUCCACAUGAGUAGUUAUCAUUAUUUGUUAUUAUUCUUUCACUGAUCCACUUUGGAAGACAGAUGUGCAUUCUCUCUCCCCCUGAGAACUGAUGAAACAUGAAAAUCACUUCUUAGAUAAGAAACCCCCACAAAGUCAACACGAUACGUUGUGAGUUAUUUGGUUUCUAAUCUCUGAAACUGAGCCAGGUCAAACAGACACAGCUCCUCUGAUAAACUGUUAUUCUUAGAGAUUUCAUCCUUCUAUGGAAAAGUACUGAGCUGGCUCUCUGAUCUCCUCUUACACUGUCAUCAGCAUACAGCCGCGGGCCAGUGGAAAAUUGGAGAAAACCAGCUGCAUGUAGAGUGUUAAGGGUAUUAUUUUUAGAUGCUUCGUUUCUUUCUGACUACACACGCUUCCCUGUGGAAAACAAGGCUGUCUAUCUUACUGACUUAUAGGCAGCUGCUCCAUUAUGCACGUUGAAGAUGUCCUUUAGAAAUGAGGUGCUAAACAAGAUAAAUAGAAGAAAAAGUGAUAUGUACACUUGUAUGUACAUAUGUACAGCUUGAGAGUUGAGGGAGAUUUGAGGGUGAAUUCAGGGGAGUCUUUGGAAAGCAAGCAAGCCCUCCUUUCAAUGGAUACGUGAAUUUGAGGGAGUAAUUCAGUUUCAGUUUCCCUUUUUCUAUGACUGGGGAAUUUCCUUUCUUAUUUUCCGUAGCUGUUUUGACAUUUUAGCAAGUAUCAACACUGAAUACUGGCUUUCCUUGCAAACACUGAUCUACUAUCAUAACAGAGCUGCUAAAGAGAUGAAUCUCCAGUCCAUA